AUGAAUGAUCCUGGAGGACUUUCCUCAGCCUCAAGUUUGCGGUACCAGAGUCUGAUGCAAGUCUCCACCCCAGAGGCAGGCCUGACCACGGCUCCUGAGGAUGCUGUGCACAGGAAGCUGAGGCAGGCAAUCCUAUGUGAAUGUCAAGCACACAAGCUAGACAGAAGAAAGAACUUCCAUAGGGCAUCAAUACUGUAUAGAAAAAUCAUCCAACUUGAAGGAUUCUCUUCUUGGGAGGCAAUGAACGAGGAGCACCCUCACCUUGCUGAGCCAGAAUUAAGCUUGGAUAACUUCCUGAAAGACAGAAGUGCGAAGCAAGGAUUAGCAGAGAGGUGGGCAGCCUGGAGACAAGCAGAUACGGGCUGAGGGCCACUUCAGAGAGUCUUCGACAUAUCGCCAUAAAUUGUCUUCUGAGGAGGAAGCCAGAUCCAACAUCAAGUUCUAACAGUGAAGCCUGGAAGAAGAGACUGGAAUAACCAGGGAGGAAGGAACACUGUAUAUCUGUGGCAUUGGGUGGCAGGAGUCAUCCCUGAGAGGCUUUGCAGACUGGGCCAGUCCAGCCGGGCCAGCACAAGGUCUCUGAAGGGAGCAGGCCACUGUGUGAGGGGCCAGGAAGGGAUUUUAUAUAACACCGUGCACUUGCUACUCUGAUGAAGAACCCUCAGAGCUUCCGGGAGUCCCUUUUAACAAAAGCUCGUCACCUUUCCGGGCCUCCUUCCAGAAGCCCUGUUCUGGCCUAAAGCCCUCUUCUGCAAGGUGCCUGCUGAGCAUGGUGUUUUUCCUCCAGAGAGCCUGAAGCCAGCACUAUCCUGGCUGGGCAGGUAGCCCAGCUCAGAGGAAGGAGAACUGACCCACGGGUAGCAGGGCUGGGCUCCCAAUUUCUGACUGGGUAACCUGGAUCUAGAUCUCACAAGGGUAGUGACUAAGUGCCCAGACCCUGGAGAGGGACUACCUGGGUUCAAAUGCUGCCCUUGCCAUUCAAGGAGUUUGGCCAAGUUAUUUAAUCUCUCUGCCUUAGUUUCCUCAUAGGAAUAAAGACAUUUCAAAGUUGUUGAGUUUUAAAUGG
This 1066-nucleotide long non-coding RNA is filed under the name Urocitellus parryii (Arctic ground squirrel). RNAcentral describes it as "lncRNA (ENSUPAG00010020513.1)". Lineage: Eukaryota; Metazoa; Chordata; Mammalia; Rodentia; Sciuridae. The record is from RNAcentral.